RNAcentral lists this ribosomal RNA (450 nucleotides) under uncultured bacterium. Its description in RNAcentral is "partial 16S ribosomal RNA". It matches the Rfam family "Bacterial small subunit ribosomal RNA", at positions 354 to 796 of the family's 1533-position model. The record is from RNAcentral.
GUGGGGAAUUUUGGACAAUGGGCGCAAGCCUGAUCCAGCAAUGCCGCGUGCAGGAAGAAGGCCUUCGGGUUGUAAACUGCUUUUGUACGGAACGAAACGGUCCGGGUUAAUACCCUGGGCUAAUGACGGUACCGUAAGAAUAAGCACCGGCUAACUACGUGCCAGCAGCCGCGGUAAUACGUAGGGUGCAAGCGUUAAUCGGAAUUACUGGGCGUAAAGCGUGCGCAGGCGGUUUUGUAAGACAGGCGUGAAAUCCCCGGGCUCAACCUGGGAAUUGCGCUUGUGACUGCAAGGCUGGAGUGCGGCAGAGGGGGAUGGAAUUCCGCGUGUAGCAGUGAAAUGCGUAGAUAUGCGGAGGAACACCGAUGGCGAAGGCAAUCCCCUGGGCCUGCACUGACGCUCAUGCACGAAAGCGUGGGGAGCAAACAGGAUUAGAUACUCUUGUAGUCC